This 4295-nucleotide long non-coding RNA is filed under the name Homo sapiens (human). RNAcentral's name for it is "non-protein coding lnc-POTEB3-12:1". Lineage: Eukaryota; Metazoa; Chordata; Mammalia; Primates; Hominidae. The record is from RNAcentral.
UUUAAGGCUGGUCAUUAGCAAUAUUAUGGACGACCUAAGUUCCUCGAACUUAUGCAGUUUAUAGCUUUUUAAGAAUUUAAGAAGUGGAGAAGGGGAAGCAUGAGAAACUUAAAGGAUGCAAAUUGAGCAUCUCUUAAAAUAUAAUGGAUUUGUGUAGGUGAAACAGAUUUGUUGCCGAAGACUGUCGUGAACAUUGUUGUGUCCCCUGGUUUUUGAGUCUUAAUGUGUCUUAAGUGUUUUAGAUGUUAGUGACUUUUUUAAGAGCACAUUAAAUGCAGAGGUAAUAUAGAAUAAUGGGAAGUUCUGGAUUGACAGAUAGACAUAUAUUCUGAUUCCAUCUGUGUCAUUAAUUGCUGUUGGGAAUGUCACUUAACUUCUCUGGGCAUCAAUUUUCUCAUCUAUACAAUUAAGGGCCUAUAGUCUUUGACCUCAAGUAGUUUCUCUAGCCUGAUUCUGUAAAUUUUUAAUAAGUUCUAAUUAUGUUAUUUGGUAUUCAUCUCAUAUAGGUAGACUAACCUUUGCCAUUUAAAAGAAACAAGAUUCUGUGUUGGGUUCUGCUUUUAGCUUAUGGAUUUUAGACAUUGUCCAAAAGUGCUUCGGAAAUUGAAUGUAUGUUGCAAGUAUUAUGUAGUAAGAACAUGCUUAUGCUGUUGUAAUUCGCUUAGUGAUGAAAUCAAAUCAGGUUUUACAUUGGGAACUUCAUAAUUUAGUGUGAAGCCACAAGACUUGAGAAUGGUUUGGGGGAGUAUGUGCAAUUUAUAUAGCUAGUUGUUUCUUACCACCCAAUUCUGUAAUUUUCUAUGGUGAAUAUAUACAUAAAUUUAUAAUCAUGUAACAUUGAUUGAAGAUAUAAGAUGAUAUCAGAUUCAUAUUGGAUUGAACUAGGACUGCCAGUAACUUUAGAGGCCUCCAAAAUUAUUAACAUGUCAUUGCUAUUUUUAAUCUUAAUUUUUUGGUAUCAUCAAUAUUGAUAUCAUGCUUUCACCUUUGCUUUUGUAUCUAGAAACAAUAUACUUUUUAAGUUCAUACUUGUAUCAGAUAUUAAAAAUGAAAAUUGUAGCAUAAAAGUGGAUAGAUGAGUAAAUCUUGGGUUCAAGCCUGCGUUGUAUUCUUCAUUAGCCGUGUUGUUUCUGGCAAGCCACGUAACCCCUCUGAGCUCCAAUUCCUUCAUUAGUGAAAGGAAGAAGAGCAGCUUCUCUACUUUUCUAACAGACUGCCAGGGGGAGAAUGCAACGGAAUAAUGUGUAUGAAAAGUAUUCAAAAAAUGUAAGGGUCUGGUAUUAGAAUCCUAUUAUAUUGGAAUCCUGUUUUAUUUCUUGGAAGAAUUGGCUUGUGGAGCAGUAGUAAACCUGGUCCACAUUGUCAAGUGCAGAAUUUAGCAAUAUCACUGAUAAGGCAACAGAAAAGGUUUCUGCUUCUGUAGUCUGGCUGGAGAAACCUUUCAGCAAAUGUAUCCUGUCUGCCAGUUGGAAUAAUCACAAUGUUGCAGGGACUUCAGAGGAACCUGGGGUGUCUCACAUUUAUGCCAAGGUCUGUACUUAGAAUAGACUUGCUAGAUUUUACCCAUUUUCUUAUGUUGGAGUCGUGGGAGAAGGUGGUAGGAGCAAGGAGUUUAGCACACUCUGCAUAAAGUUUUAAGGCUACAUUUUUAAGUAGCAGGUGGCAGUGUCAUAGGGUAAUGAAAUCAAUGUACUUAUUUUAAAAAGCAUUUUAAAAAAGAAUAUAUCAGUACAUUGUGUAAAGUAAAAGUAAAUAUUGAUUUGGGAAACCUUUCUUUUUAAAAGAUAUGUUUAUGUAUGUAUACUUGGUUGCCGUGUAAAAUGUAUUUUUUCUUUUUAAAAAUUAUUAUUUUCAUUUUUUGUAGAGACAGGGUUUUGCUACAUUGCCCAGGCUGGUCUUGAACUCCUGGGCUUGAGUAGUCCUGCCUUGGUCUCCCAAAGUGCUGGGAUUAUAGACAUGAGCCACUGCACCUGGCCUAGAAAGUUAUUUUUUCUUUUGGGUCGUGAUAAAACUUGGUCGUAGUUGUUUAGGGACAUAGUACUUGUGCAAUGCCGAUAGAAUGACUGUCUAUAAAAUAGUAAGGCAUGAAACAAAUGAAAACAAAGAGAAAAUUGUGAAGAUGGGUUACCUUAAAGCUAUUCUGUUAGCGGUGAAAUACCUCAUAGCUUUGUUCUAAAUUGUUGAAUUAAUGAACAAAGCACAUAAACUUAUGCUAUAAUAAUCUUCUUAAGUACUCUUUUCCCUUAAGAUGGAGUGUGGAGUACUUGUUAACCACACAGGUAUUGUCUUGAUCUGAUAACUAUAGAUAUUCAGAAUGAUUCUGUUGUGACAGAUGGUAGCAAGCUUUUCUGAUUUCACUUAUCUGGGGUCUAAAUCUAAUUUCUUUAGUAGUUAAUACAUAUAUAUAUAUAUUUUUUGAGACAGAGUCUUGCUCUGUCACCCAGACUGGAGUGCAAUGGCAUGAUCUCGCCUCACUGCAACCUCCGCCUCCCAGGUUCAAGUGAUUCUCCCUGCCUCAGCCUCCCGAAGUAGUUAAUACUUUUGUAACUUAGUUGCAGAAGAGAGAUAGAAAUUUCUGAAUAAUUUUCAGAAUUAUUCAUAGAUUUAUAAUCUGGCAGAAUAUAAGGAAGUUAUAAGUAUAUUGAUAAAUCAUGACAUAACUGGCAAGAAUUGGUAUAAAGACAAGAUGGUUAACUUGAAACAGGGUUGUUGUUUAUUAUAUGCCUAUCAUUUUUCCAUGAGAUAAACCAAAUAUUAGAUUAAGUAUUUGGACUGAUCCACAAAUGACAUGGGAAGACAGAGUGUUUACAAAGAGUUUUAGAAGUGAUACAGGACAAUAAUUUGGAGUUUUAACUUAAUCUCAUUUUAAAUUUCAAAGUGAAAUUAUUUCUGAUUAUGAAAGCUACAGAACUUUUUUUUAGAUGGAGUCUCAUUGUGUCACCCAGGCUGGAGUGCAGUGGCGUUUUCUCAGCUCACUGCAACCUCUGCCUCCUGGGUUCCAGCAAUUCUGCUGCCUCAGCCUCCCGAGUAGCUGGGAUUACAGGUACCCGCCACCAUACCUGGCUAAUUUUUGUAUUUUUAGUAGAGACAGGGUUUCACCAUGUUGGCCAGGCUGGUUUCUAACUCCUGACCUCAGGUGAUUCACCUGCCUUGGCCUCCUAAAGUGCUAGGAUUACAGGCGUGAGCCAAUGCAUCUGGCCCAGAACAGUUUUAAUGUUUUUCUUUUUUAAAAAAAGUAGAGAUAACCUGUAAUCCCAUCUGGAUGUGAUGUUUGGUGUUUUCAUUUUUUUUCUUAUGCAUACCUAUUGAAAUACCUUAAAAAAGAACAACUUUCCAUGUAAAAUUGAUAUCCCCUUAAUGAGUAAAUGAGUAUUUAGUGUUCUAUAAUAUGGAUGCAUCAUAGUUUAUAGCAGUUCUGUGUUGUUAAUGGAUAUUGCCAAUUUUUCUCUUAAAGUAGUACUGUGAUGAACUUGUUUGGGCAUUGAAUUGUCCUAUUAUUUCCUUAGGAUAAUUUUUUUUUUUUUGAGACAGAGUCACUCUGUCACCCAGGCUGGAGUGCAGUGGUAUGAUCUUGGCUCACUGCAGCCUCUGCCUCCCAGGUUCAAGUGAUUCUCCUGCCUCAGCCUCCUGAGUAGCUGGGAGUACAGCCGUGCACCGCCACGCCCAGCUAAUUUUUUGCAUUUUCAGUAGAGAUGGGGUUUUACCAUGUUGGCCAGGCUGGUCUCGAUCUCCUGACCUCGUGAUCCGGCCGUCUUGGCCUCCCAAAGUGCUAGAAUUACAGGCCUGAGCCACCGCGCCUGGCCCAGGAUAAAUUCUUAAAAGCGGAUUUAUUAGCCAGGCAUGGUGGCUCAUGCCUGUAAUCCCAGCACUUUGGGAGGCCAAGGCGGGUGGGUGGAUCACCUGAGGUCAGCAGUUCAAGACCAGCCUGGCCAAAAUGGUGAAACCCCAUCUCUACUAAAAUACAAAAAUUAGUCUGGUGUGGUGGCGAGGGUCUAUAAUUCCAGCUACUUGGAAGGCUGACGCACAGAGAAUCACUUGAACCCGGGAGGCGGAGGCUGCAGUGAGCCGAGAUUAAGCUACUGCACUCCAGCCUGGGCGACAGAGUGAGACUCAUUCUAAAAAAAAAAAAAAAAAAAAAAAAAAAAAGGGCUUAUUAGGUCAAAAGGUAUGUGUGUUUUAAAUGUGGAUAUACUCAAGAUGCCCUUUAGAUAGGAUGUCUAUUUGAAAUUCCCGUCAGCAGCAUAUUAGUAUUCAAUUCCAUAUAUUCUUGCUAGUGAUUUGUCAUCUUUAGCUUG